UGGGGAAUAUUGCACAAUGGAGGAAACUCUGAUGCAGCGACGCCGCGUGAGGGAAGAAGGUCUUCGGAUUGUAAACCUCUGUCUUCAGGGACGAUAAUGACGGUACCUGAGGAGGAAGCACCGGCUAACUACGUGCCAGCAGCCGCGGUAAAACGUAGGGUGCAAGCGUUGUCCGGAAUUACUGGGUGUAAAGGGAGCGCAGGCGGGAAGGUAAGUUGGAUGUUUAAUCUACGGGCUCAACCCGUAUCAGCAUUCAAAACUAUUUUUCUUGAGUGGUGCAGAGGUAGGCGGAAUUCCCGGUGUAGCGGUGGAAUGCGUAGAUAUCGGGAGGAACACCAGUGGCGAAGGCGGCCUGCUGGGCACUAACUGACGCUGAGGCUCGAAAGCAUGGGUAGCAAAC
RNAcentral lists this ribosomal RNA (400 nucleotides) under uncultured bacterium. RNAcentral describes it as "bacterial SSU rRNA". It matches the Rfam family "Bacterial small subunit ribosomal RNA", at positions 355 to 773 of the family's 1533-position model. The record is from RNAcentral.